RNAcentral lists this ribosomal RNA (252 nucleotides) under uncultured bacterium. Its description in RNAcentral is "partial 16S ribosomal RNA". It matches the Rfam family "Bacterial small subunit ribosomal RNA", at positions 524 to 776 of the family's 1533-position model. The record is from RNAcentral.
UACGUAGGUCCCGAGCGUUGUCCGGAUUUAUUGGGCGUAAAGCGAGCGCAGGUGGUUUAUUAAGUCUGGUGUAAAAGGCAGUGGCUCAACCAUUGUAUGCAUUGGAAACUGGUAGACUUGAGUGCAGGAGAGGAGAGUGGAUUUCCAUGUGUAGCGGUGAAAUGCGUAGAUAUAUGGAGGAACACCGGUGGCGAAAGCGGCUCUCUGGCCUGUAACUGACACUGAGGCUCGAAAGCGUGGGGAGCAAACAGG